This 248-nucleotide unclassified non-coding RNA is filed under the name uncultured fungus. RNAcentral describes it as "sequence contains ITS1, 5.8S rRNA gene". The stretch from base 200 to 248 matches the Rfam family "5.8S ribosomal RNA", at positions 1 to 49 of the family's 154-position model. Lineage: Eukaryota; Fungi. The record is from RNAcentral.
UUUCCGUAGGUGAACCUGCGGAAGGAUCAUUACCGAGUUAGGGUUGCCUUCUAGGUGCCCGACCUCCCAACCCUUUGUCUAUGAUACCACAGUUGCUUCGGCGGCUCGCCGCAAGGCCCUCGGCUUCGGCUGGGGCGUGGCCGCCGGAGGACCCCCAACCCUGAAUUACAGUGUCGUCCGAGUACUAUAUAAUAGUUAAAACUUUCAACAACGGAUCUCUUGGUUCUGGCAUCGAUGAAGAACGCAGC